Molecule: ribosomal RNA, 273 nt
Filed under: uncultured bacterium
Lineage: Bacteria
Description: partial 16S ribosomal RNA
Rfam family: Bacterial small subunit ribosomal RNA
Source: RNAcentral
AUACGGAGGGUGCAAGCGUUGUUCGGAAUCACUGGGCGUAAAGGGUACGUAGGCGGCUUUGCAAGUCAGAAGUGAAAGGCAUUGGCUCAACCAAUGUAAGCUUUUGAAACUGCAAAGCUAGAGUUCAGGAGAGGUAAGUGGAAUUCCUAGUGUAGAGGUGAAAUUCGUAGAUAUUAGGAGGAACACCAGUGGCGAAGGCGACUUACUGGACUGAUACUGACGCUGAGGUACGAAAGCGUGGGGAGCAAACAGGAUUAGAAACCCGGGUAGUCC